GGUNGCUNCCUUCCCACGCUUUCGUCCCUCAGCGUCAGUUAAAUCUUAGUGACCUGCCUUCGCAAUUGGUGUUCUAAGUAAUAUCUAUGCAUUUCACCGCUACACUACUUAUUCCAGCCACUUCAAAUUUACUCAAGACCUGCAGUAUCAAUGGCAGUUUCACAGUUAAGCUGUGAGAUUUCACCACUGACUUACAGAUCCGCCUACGGACCCUUUAAACCCAAUAAAUCCGGAUAACGCUUGCACCCUCCGUAUUACCGCGGCUGCUGGCACGGAGUUAGCCGGUGCUUAUUCGUACAGUACCUUCAGCUUCCCACACGUGGAAAGGUUUAUCCCUGUACAAAAGAAGUUUACAACCCAUAGGGCCGUCGUCCUUCACGCGGGAUGGCUGGAUCAGGCUCUCACCCAUUGUCCAAUAUUCCUCACUGCUGCCUCCCGUAGGAGUCUGGUCCGUGUCUCAGUACCAGUGUGGGGGAUCACCCUCUCAGGCCCCCUAAAGAUCAUUGACUUGGUGAGCCGUUACCUCACCAACUAUCUAAUCUUGCGCGUGCCCAUCUCUAUCCGCCGGAGCUUUCAAUGUCGAAUGAUGCCAUUCAACAUAUUAUGGGGUAUUAAUCUUCCUUUCGAAAGGCUAUCCCCCAGAUAAAGGCAGGUUGCACACGUGUUCCGCACCCGUGCGCCGCUCUCAAUUGCCCGAAAGCAAUCUACCGCUCGGCUUNAUGUGUUAGGCCUCCCGCUAGCGUUCAUCCUGAGCCA
RNAcentral lists this ribosomal RNA (756 nucleotides) under Flavobacterium sp. MBRG 4.28. RNAcentral describes it as "partial 16S ribosomal RNA". The record is from RNAcentral. Lineage: Bacteria; Pseudomonadati; Bacteroidota; Flavobacteriia; Flavobacteriales; Flavobacteriaceae.